This 418-nucleotide ribosomal RNA is filed under the name uncultured bacterium. RNAcentral describes it as "bacterial SSU rRNA". It matches the Rfam family "Bacterial small subunit ribosomal RNA", at positions 120 to 518 of the family's 1533-position model. The record is from RNAcentral.
GAUAACCUGUCUUCAUGUCUGGAAUAAUACGCCAAAGGGGUACUAAUACCGGAUAUUCUUGCUUUUCAUAAGUUAUGCAAGCAAAGGUGGCCUCUGCAUAUGCUACUGCAUGAAGAGGGGUCUGCGUACCAUUAGCUAGUAGGUGGGGUAAUGGCCUACCUAGGCGACGAUGGUUAGCGGGUCUGAGAGGAUGAUCCGCCACACUGGCACUGGAACACGGGCCAGACUCCUACGGGAGGCAGCAGUGAGGAAUAUUGCGCAAUGGGGGAAACCCUGACGCAGCGACGCCGCGUGAAGUGAGGAAGGCCUUCGGGUCGUAAAGCUCUGUCAAGAGGAAAGAAGUGUACAAUGGCUAAUACCUGUUGUAUUUGACGGUACCUCUAAAGGAAGCACCGGCUAACUCCGUGCCAGCAGCCGC